CUACGGAGGGUGCGAGCGUUAAUCGGAAUUACUGGGCGUAAAGGGUCCGUAGGCGGUCUGCUUAGUCUGAUGUGAAAGCCCCGGGCUUAACCUGGGAAUGGCAUUGGAUACUGGCGGACUAGAGUCUGCUAGAGGGUGGUGGAAUUCCCGGUGUAGCGGUGAAAUGCGUAGAGAUCGGGAGGAACACCAGUGGCGAAGGCGGCCACCUGGACCAAGACUGACGCUGAGGGACGAAAGCGUGGGGAGCGAACAGAAUUAGAAACCCUAGUAGUCC
RNAcentral lists this ribosomal RNA (274 nucleotides) under uncultured bacterium. Its description in RNAcentral is "partial 16S ribosomal RNA". It matches the Rfam family "Bacterial small subunit ribosomal RNA", at positions 523 to 796 of the family's 1533-position model. The record is from RNAcentral.